GUAGAUAUAGUUUAACAAGAACGCCAGAUUGUGAUUCUGGAAACAGGGGUUAAAUCCCCCUUAUCCACC
This 69-nucleotide transfer RNA is filed under the name Pseudanthias pascalus (amethyst anthias). RNAcentral's name for it is "tRNA-His". It matches the Rfam family "tRNA". Rfam says of the family: Transfer RNA (tRNA) molecules are approximately 80 nucleotides in length. Their secondary structure includes four short double-helical elements and three loops (D, anti-codon, and T loops). Lineage: Eukaryota; Metazoa; Chordata; Actinopteri; Perciformes; Anthiadidae. The record is from RNAcentral.